This 1248-nucleotide ribosomal RNA is filed under the name Nocardioides sp. RNAcentral's name for it is "bacterial SSU rRNA". It matches the Rfam family "Bacterial small subunit ribosomal RNA", at positions 38 to 1301 of the family's 1533-position model. Lineage: Bacteria; Bacillati; Actinomycetota; Actinomycetes; Propionibacteriales; Nocardioidaceae. The record is from RNAcentral.
GGCAAGGCGCGGGCUUACACAUGCAGUCGAGCGGAAGGCCACUUCGGUGGUACUCGAGCGGCGAACGGGUGAGUAACACGUGAGUAAUCUGCCCCUGGCUUUGGGAUAGCCACCGGAAACGGUGAUUAAUACCGGAUAUGACCACUUCGCGCAUGUGAUGGUGGUGGAAAGUUUUUCGGCCAGGGAUGUGCUCGCGGCCUAUCAGCUUGAUGGUGAGGUAAUGGCUCACCAUGGCUUCGACGGGUAGCCGGCCUGAGAGGGUGACCGGCCACACUGGGACUGAGACACGGCCCAGACUCCUACGGGAGGCAGCAGUGGGGAAUAUUGGACAAUGGGCGGAAGCCUGAUCCAGCAACGCCGCGUGAGGGAUGACGGCCUUCGGGUUGUAAACCUCUUUCGCCUGUGACGAAGCGCAAGUGACGGUAACAGGUAAAGAAGCACCGGCCAACUACGUGCCAGCAGCCGCGGUAAUACGUAGGGUGCGAGCGUUGUCCGGAAUUAUUGGGCGUAAAGGGCUCGUAGGCGGUUUGUCGCGUCGGGAGUGAAAACCAGGUGCUUAACACCUGGCUUGCUUUCGAUACGGGCAGACUAGAGGUAUUCAGGGGAGAACGGAAUUCCUGGUGUAGCGGUGAAAUGCGCAGAUAUCAGGAGGAACACCGGUGGCGAAGGCGGUUCUCUGGGAAUGACCUGACGCUGAGGAGCGAAAGUGUGGGGAGCGAACAGGAUUAGAUACCCUGGUAGUCCACACCGUAAACGUUGGGCGCUAGGUGUGGGGUCCAUUCCACGGAUUCCGUGCCGCAGCUAACGCAUUAAGCGCCCCGCCUGGGGAGUACGGCCGCAAGGCUAAAACUCAAAGGAAUUGACGGGGGCCCGCACAAGCGGCGGAGCAUGCGGAUUAAUUCGAUGCAACGCGAAGAACCUUACCUGGGUUUGACAUACACCCUGCCGCUCCAGAGAUGGGGCUUCUUUUGGGGGUGUACAGGUGGUGCAUGGCUGUCGGCAGCUCUUGUCGUGAGAUGUUGGGUUAAGUCCCGCAACGAGCGCAACCCUCGUUCUAUGUUGCCAGCACGUAAUGGUGGGGACUCAUAGGAAACUGCCUGGGUCAACUCUGAGGAAGGUGGAGACGAUGUGAGGUAGUCAUGCCCAUAUUGUUCUCGGUCUUACGUCAGGUUUCUCUGUCCGGCAUAAUAGGCUGUAGGUCCAGAGGCGUGGCUCUCACUCCAAUUGGCUAGUUUUAAUAUCAAAUUU